GCCCAGAUAGCUCAGUCGGUAGAGCAGCGGACUGAAAAUCCGCGUGUCGCUGGUUCGAUCCCGGCUCUGGGCACCA
RNAcentral lists this transfer RNA (76 nucleotides) under Tissierellia bacterium. RNAcentral's name for it is "tRNA-Phe". It matches the Rfam family "tRNA". Rfam says of the family: Transfer RNA (tRNA) molecules are approximately 80 nucleotides in length. Their secondary structure includes four short double-helical elements and three loops (D, anti-codon, and T loops). Lineage: Bacteria; Bacillati; Bacillota; Tissierellia. The record is from RNAcentral.